This 528-nucleotide ribosomal RNA is filed under the name Limosilactobacillus fermentum. RNAcentral's name for it is "bacterial SSU rRNA". It matches the Rfam family "Bacterial small subunit ribosomal RNA", at positions 67 to 577 of the family's 1533-position model. The record is from RNAcentral. Lineage: Bacteria; Bacillati; Bacillota; Bacilli; Lactobacillales; Lactobacillaceae.
CUUGCACCUGAUUGAUUUUGGUCGCCAACGAGUGGCGGACGGGUGAGUAACACGUAGGUAACCUGCCCAGAAGCGGGGGACAACAUUUGGAAACAGAUGCUAAUACCGCAUAACAACGUUGUUCGCAUGAACAACGCUUAAAAGAUGGCUUCUCGCUAUCACUUCUGGAUGGACCUGCGGUGCAUUAGCUUGUUGGUGGGGUAAUGGCCUACCAAGGCGAUGAUGCAUAGCCGAGUUGAGAGACUGAUCGGCCACAAUGGGACUGAGACACGGCCCAUACUCCUACGGGAGGCAGCAGUAGGGAAUCUUCCACAAUGGGCGCAAGCCUGAUGGAGCAACACCGCGUGAGUGAAGAAGGGUUUCGGCUCGUAAAGCUCUGUUGUUAAAGAAGAACACGUAUGAGAGUAACUGUUCAUACGUUGACGGUAUUUAACCAGAAAGUCACGGCUAACUACGUGCCAGCAGCCGCGGUAAUACGUAGGUGGCAAGCGUUAUCCGGAUUUAUUGGGCGUAAAGAGAGUGCAGGCG